GACAGUGACGUGCUUCUAAGAAACUGGAACGACUCUGAUGUUUCGGUGCUUCCGAUAUACAAGAAGCUGAUUGCUGCAGGUCUUCGAAUAUGGGUUUUCAGUGGGGACACAGAUUCCGUAGUUCCAGUGACUGCAACGAGGUUUUCUUUGAACCGUCUAAAUCUCAAAGUCAAAACUCCGUGGUAUCCUUGGUACUCUAAUGGGCAGGUUGGGGGAUGGACUGAAGUUUACGAUGGACUAACGUUUGCUACAGUGAGAGGAGCUGGGCAUGAAGUUCCUUUGUUUCAGCCUAGGAGAGCUUUCGAGCUAUUUCAGACAUUCUUGUCUGGAAAGAACUUGCCUAAAUCUUGAAGCACUUGCGUCGUAAAAAACAGAAACUACGCUAGAGGGAGUAUUACAAUAGGAUCAUUCAAUUCCAACUGUACUUAAAUUACGUAACAGAAGUCCUAAUUAUUGUCGAGCUAUAAGUUAAUAGUUCAUUUAUAUCAGCGUGUUUCGACACAUAAAAUUCUCUUGGCAGCAGAAUUUUACGUGUCGAAAUUCAGACAGAAAGAUGGGGAUGUCAAAUGACAAAUACAUUGCUUUCAAACAUCAGUGUUGAAUUAAAUCA
Non-coding RNA from Erythranthe guttata (spotted monkey flower), 610 nucleotides. NCBI's taxonomy places the organism in Eukaryota, Viridiplantae, Streptophyta, Magnoliopsida, Lamiales, Phrymaceae. The record is from RefSeq and is a predicted model, not a curated record.